Non-coding RNA from Ciona savignyi (Pacific transparent sea squirt), 366 nucleotides. The record is from Rfam. Lineage: Eukaryota; Metazoa; Chordata; Ascidiacea; Phlebobranchia; Cionidae.
UACCUGGUUGAUCCUGCCAGUAGUCAUAUGCUUGUCUCAAAGAUUAAGCCAUGCAAGUCUAAGUACGAGCUCUCGUACAGUGAAACUGCGAAUGGCUCAUUAAAUCAGUUAUGGUUCAUUUGAUCGUACAGUUUACUUGGAUAACUGUGGUAAUUCUAGAGCUAAUACAUGCGAGAAGCGCCGACCUCGCGGGAGGCGUGCAUUUAUCAGACCAAAAACCGGCCGCGUCUUCGGGCGCGUUCGCCUUGGUGACUCUGGAUAACUUUGCGGAUCGCACGGUCUAGCACCGGCGACGGAUCAUUCAAGUGUCUGCCCUAUCAACUUUCGUCGGUACGGUAUUUGCCUACCGAGGUUCUUACGGGUGAC